Long non-coding RNA from Thalassophryne amazonica, 127 nucleotides. RefSeq lists it as uncharacterized. The transcript is spliced from 4 exons. The record is from RefSeq and is a predicted model, not a curated record. NCBI's taxonomy places the organism in Eukaryota, Metazoa, Chordata, Actinopteri, Batrachoidiformes, Batrachoididae.
AAAAACUAAAAGCUGCACUUCUUUUUCAUGCAACUGUACCACUGCAUCAAUAGUUCAGUGUUUUGUUGAGAAAAUAUCACCAUAUCAAUAUUAGCCAUUCCAAGAAUGUACAAAAAAUAAAAUCACA